CUUGGAUUAGCGGGACGGUCGAUGCUCUUCUUUCCGGCGGCCGGCGUCCAUUUUCCCCCCUGUUAGCAUCAUCGUUCUUGGCGCGUUUCUUCGUUUUAUCGUAAUUUUCCGACUCAAAAAACUGACGUAUCUUUUAAGAUGGAUGGACUGCCACCGGGUAGAGGUGGAUUCCGAGGCCGCGGCGGACCUGGUGGACCGAUGAGAGGACGCGGCGGGUUUGGGGACAGAGGAAGGGGAGGCCCGCCCAGGGGUGGAAUGAUGCGAGGUCGCGGAGGCCCAGGUAUGGGCAUGCGAGGAGGUCCUCCAGGAAUGAGAGGUCGAGGAGGUCCACCUGGUAGAGGCGGACGUGGGGGACAUUUUCCUCCUGGUCCACCGGAGCCAGGAUUGGGCGGACCCGGUGGUCCACCACCCCCUGGAAUGGGUGGUCCAAUGAGAGGUGGCAGUAGAGGAGCUCCCGGCGGUGGUUUCCGUGGCAGAGGACGAGGCGACUUUGGCAGAGGGGACAGUCGUGGUGGCGGUUUUCGUGGGCGUGGCGCUGGAAUGGAUCGAGGCAGAGGCGUCGGAGCAUUCCCAAGGGGUGGCGGACCUCCGAGAGGCGGUGGACCACCAAGAGGAGCAAUGGGCAGAGGUGCCGGUGGUUUUGUCGAUCGCGGAGGGCGUGGAGCCGGCGCUGGAAGAGGAGCAGGUCCAAUAAAACGCGGAGGUGGCCCGUUGGGCGCUGGCGGACCUCCGAAGAGACCGCGUUUCGAACCUCCGCCACCACAACCUGCUAAUGGCUACGGAGGAGCACAACCGCCAGCUCAAGGAUACGGAGCCCCGGGCAACGGCUACGGAGGUGGUCCACCCCCGCAACCGCCAGUUGGUAGCGGGCCUGGUUACGGUGGUGGAAAUGGCGGCUACGGCGGCCCGCCUCAAGGGGGAUAUCCACAAACGGCAUAUCAAGGAUACGAAAACUAUCAGGCACCUCCUGAUUAUUCACAAACUGCUGGAUACGCGGCUCCUGUACCGCCUGACAACAGAUACGGAGGUGCGCCACCAGUACCAACAGCUGGAGGAUUCAAUGCAGGCGAUCCUUACGGUUACGGUAAAGCACCACCGUCAGCUAAUUAUCAACAAGAGGCUGUCCCGGCACCAGUUGCUGCCAGUGGGGGCGGGGGUGGUUACGCUCCGGCUAACCCUUACGAAGAUCAAUCCUGUAAUCCCACUGGAAUGAUGGGCAGGGGUGGUUAUUCGACGCAAGGUUAUGACUAUCCAAGUCAAGACGGUGGAUAUGGCAAGCAGGAUUACGGUAAGUACCAGACGCCUCAGAACGAAUUUUAUUAAACGGAAAAAGCAAAGAGAGAACAAAGGAACAGAUGAAAGAAAGGAGAACAAAAUGAAUGAAAAGGGGGAGGUUUAUUGAUGGCAAAAUACACAUGCCCUUAGGACGAGGUCAAAAAGCAUUACCGAUAAAGCUACCUCAAUGAAAAUUAGUGAGAAUUCAAGGGAAGCCUGCGAGCGACAAAAAAAUGAAAAGAGUGGUGUGAGAUUGAGACGAAAACGUGUCCCGAACGAAAUAGGAAACCGUAGGGCACAGGCUUUUUUUUUUAUUUUCCUUUCCAAUAAACUUUUACAACUCAUUUUGUUGAAUUACUCCUCCCGAGUAAUGGCAAAAAUCUUAUAAACGUAGAUUUUCUCCCCUCCCUUCUAACCGAAAAAUACUUGUUUAAAUAUCCUUAGAAGCGCAAGUAGUAGCUUGACGAAACAAAUGAUGCGUCACAUCACGAAAACGGAAAUUUCAAGAGUCAUUGUAUGAAGAGUGGAUAAGCGGUACAUGUGCAUAAAAAACGUUGAGACAGGGGGAGGAAAAGCCAAGAUAAAAAACUAUCGAUAAAUGUUAUUUUUAAUAACACACGAACCCAUCCAAACACACACACAUACACACACACACUCACAUCUAUGCUUAGCAAAAAAAGGAAAACAACUAAAGGUUGAAACAAAUGCGAGACUAUCCGAGAGAAUGACUGGAUAUGUGAUGGUUGUUCGUAAAUGGCAGUGCUGGUUAUAAGAACACCCAGUUUCAGCUACAUUAUAAAUUAUUCUUACAAAAGUAUAUCUUUCAAUUAUAUUAUUGUAUAUAUAUGAUAUAUGUAAAGUAUAUACACUAUCUCGAAAUUUAGUUGUACAAAUUAAAUUUCUUGUCGCGUUACAAAGUUCAAGGACUAUUGUACGUUUGUUUGAAAUGAAAAGGCAUCGAAAACGAGGUGUUAUUGAAGCUCGUAUCGCUGGAAAGCAAAGUUUAUGUUUAUUCAAUUAUUUUAUCAUCUCUGUACAAGUUAGAAAUUAACAAGUUUGUCCAGUCGAUUAAAGAAAGAUUUCGAAGAAACGUUUAGAUUGUUGAAGUUUUGUAGUCGUAGUUGAGACGACAACCUUGUGGGGCAAUAUUUAAAAAAAAAAAAAAAAAAAAAAAACAUAUUACGAGGCACCGAAAGGGAUACCGAGCUUCAAAACAUAUUGGCCGACGAAAUGAACGAAUUAGCGUACCGAAGCGAUUCCACCACACUCGUAAACGUCUAAACUUUGUCACGCACCAGAAAAAGCACUCGCUUACGGUAUUCUCUAAUAACAUUAUAACAUAAGAAACGGAAAUGAGAGGUGGAAUUAAAACGAAACACUCAAUUUAAUCACCAAAAACGUAUACAGAUGGCAGCAGAGGGGAGGGAGGGGGAGAGGGGGAGCUUGAAAAUGAAAACCAGAACCAAAAAAAAGAUCCGAGAUGUGUCUCGCUAUAAUCGGUUAUUACUAAGUUUAAGUUGGCCUCGGUGUACAGUCACUCAGAUCAGAAGAAGAAGAGGAGGAAGAAGAAGAAGAAGAAAAAAAAUCCAGAAACUUUUAAUUAUAGUACAAUUUCUUUCUAGAAACGUAAUUUUGUCACUGUUAUAUCGUAACUGAACACAACAAUUGUUUAAGCUCAUCUGCGUGUUACGUGUAGGUAAUUUGAAACGAUCGUAGCUAUUGUAACGAUCUUUUUUGUUUGUUUUGCGUAACGAGAGACUCGAGUUAUUUUUCCUUAUUAAUUGUCCUCUUGAUCGAAAAGUGAAGGUAUGAAAACGGAAACAAUAAAUCAAUGCACAUGGAGACUAAACUGAAUCAAAACCACCGUGAUGGAGCGUUUUAUAAAAUUUAAGAGCCGAAAAUUCGUAGUUUUGCAUUAGGAUACGCGAGCGUGAAUUCGCAAAAAACAAACAAAAACAACUACAACUAAAACAAAUAUGAAAUUCUUCGUCUUAGAAUGUUGCUCCGGCAUGAAAUGUUCAAAUAGAUAAAAAUAAUAAGCAGCAAAAAGAAAAAUAUGUCUUAACGGAUUUAGAUACAAAUUUUUUUAUAAGUCAAAGACGACUACACGAAUUUAGGUCCACACGUAUGUAUAUAUAUGUUUAAAUAUAUCUACAUAUAUCUGUUUAUGACAUACCACAUGGUCGAGGAAAGAGAAGAAAAACGAACGAUUGUGCAUUUGCAGUGCCGAUAGCAGUUGUGAUUAUUUUCUUUUUACCCUUUGGUUGUACGAAGAAACGAGAAAUAAUGCAAUGAAAUAAAAAAGAAAGAAUAAUUGAAAAAAAAAUUGACGUUAAAGGACGCAGUAAAUACGAACGAAUGACAAAAAUAUUUUCCUCAAUUUAUUAAUCAAUAUUAUUAUUUCGUUUUUUAUAUUUAACUCAAAAAUAAGAAUAAUGAAUAUUUAAGGAUGUAGGACGAAAAAAGGAGCAACAGAAACCGAUUGUCAUCUUUUUUUAAUAGUUGAUAGUGUAAGCAAUAGCGAAAUCGAAGUCAAAGUUGCGACACAAAGUAUGAAGAAAGUGAGAUUUAAAAAUCUUCCUUGCACGAUGAUGAGAUGAAAAAAAAGAACGACAACAAAAUUAUAUGGAAUACUUUUUCUCACAUUUAUUACUUCCUCAACCUUCUGUACAAGAGAGUGCAUAUGAGUAAAAAAUGAAAGACUCAAUAAACCAGCAACUGCCCUAGGAUACUGGCACAACCAAUAACGACGUGAUUAACGAGACAACGUGAUUAUCCUCUGGCUCUCUGCUUGGGAUAUCUCUUUUAACAGAAAGAGGGGGAGAGAAAGAGAACAAAAAUGAAAUGAAAAGAAAAGAGAGUGACUUAAACGUAACGAUACAACCAACGUAGGUAUCGAUACUCUAUCGACGAAGUAAUACAAACUCUUUGCGUUGAAUUAACAAACAACAACAAAAAAAAGAAACGAAACGAAAAUAUACAAAGCAAAUGAAACGAAUAAAGACAAAUGCUCGAGUAGAACCUCGGUCCAAGCUCAGGCUGAUCAUCUCGCAUCCAUUCUGAACCGUUAAAAGGAAGUCCUACUGCACUUGACCACAUGACUGGCAAUCGAAGAAAAUCGUUUGUGCUCCCGAGAACUCGGAACACGAUCACGAGUCCAAGCCAUCGAUAUAUAAUGACUGGCUUCUCGUUCAAGACCUUUGGACUUGGUUUUGGUCAUCCUCUUCUCAGUCCAAGAUCCAUAUAAAAAGGUAGAACUUUUCGACUCAGCCACAUGUAAUAAAUCGCAUUUUUGUUGCUGUCUUUCGACAAAUAAACGAUGUUACACUGUU
This 4607-nucleotide unclassified non-coding RNA is filed under the name Venturia canescens. RNAcentral's name for it is "collagen alpha-2(I) chain-like, transcript variant X1". The record is from RNAcentral. Lineage: Eukaryota; Metazoa; Arthropoda; Insecta; Hymenoptera; Ichneumonidae.